This 255-nucleotide ribosomal RNA is filed under the name uncultured bacterium. RNAcentral describes it as "partial 16S ribosomal RNA". It matches the Rfam family "Bacterial small subunit ribosomal RNA", at positions 524 to 776 of the family's 1533-position model. The record is from RNAcentral.
CACGUAGGGUGCGAGCGUUGUCCGGAAUUAUUGGGCGUAAAGAGCUCGUAGGCGGUGUGUCGCGUCGGCCGUGAAAACCUGCAGCUUAACUGUGGGCUUGCGGUCGAUACGGGCAUCACUGGAGUUCGGCAGGGGAGACUGGAAUUCCUGGUGUAGCGGUGAAAUGCGCAGAUAUCAGGAGGAACACCGGGUGGCGAAGGCGGGUCUCUGGGCCGAUACUGACGCUGAGGAGCGAAAGCGUGGGGAGCGAACAGG